Molecule: transfer RNA, 53 nt
Filed under: Histiostoma feroniarum
Lineage: Eukaryota; Metazoa; Arthropoda; Arachnida; Sarcoptiformes; Histiostomatidae
Description: tRNA-Asn
Source: RNAcentral
CCAACUAUAGUUCAUAGUAAUAUUCUUUUGUUAAUAGAAAGGGGUUUGUUGGU